CCAGACUCCUACGGGAGGCAGCAGUGGGGAAUAUUGCACAAUGGGGGGAACCCUGAUGCAGCGACGCCGCGUGGGUGAAGGAGUAUUUCGGUAUGUAAAGCCCUAUCAGCAGGGAAGAACAAUGACGGUACCUGACUAAGAAGCACCGGCUAAAUACGUGCCAGCAGCCGCGGUAAUACGUAGGUGGCAAGCGUUAUCCGGAUUUACUGGGUGUAAAGGGCGAGUAGGCGGGAUUGCAAGUCAGAUGUGAAAACUAUGGGCUCAACCGAUAGAGUGCAUUUGAAACUGCAGUUCUUGAGUGACGGAGAGGCAGGCGGAAUUCCCGGUGUAGCGGUGGAAUGCGUAGAUAUCAGGAGGAACACCGGUGGCGAAGGCGGCCUGCUGGACUGCGACUGACGUUGAGGCCCGAAAGCGUGGGGAGCAAACAGGAUUAGAUACCCUUGUAGG
This 447-nucleotide ribosomal RNA is filed under the name uncultured bacterium. Its description in RNAcentral is "bacterial SSU rRNA". It matches the Rfam family "Bacterial small subunit ribosomal RNA", at positions 331 to 794 of the family's 1533-position model. The record is from RNAcentral.